Molecule: long non-coding RNA, 3406 nt
Organism: Oncorhynchus masou masou (cherry salmon)
Lineage: Eukaryota; Metazoa; Chordata; Actinopteri; Salmoniformes; Salmonidae
Exons: 3
Source: RefSeq, a predicted model, not a curated record
CGUAGAAAUGUACCUGGCUAAAAGAGGAGCAACUUUUUUUGGUAGCAGUUAUCCUGAGUUGAACUCAGAGUUGACCAAAGGUUACCUUCGUAACUCCUCAAACCUGAUUCGUGGAAUAGGGCUCAGUCAGUAUCUGUACAUGUCGGUUUUGAUGUGCACUCACACUGCAUGUACGGCAGGUACUCCUUAAAAUAUCAGCCGUGGAAGAAGAACUAUGCAUCCGAACUUAUUACAAAUUCAAUUUCAAGAGACAAGAAUGAGACACAGUGCUCAAGAAAGCUCUGUGUGGACAGCCGUGAUGAAGGACACUGGCUGGUUCCCCUGGAGUCUCCGUUGAAGGCCCUCGCCAUUUCAGCUCCCAGGGACCCCCCAAUGAGCUCAACUGGGGUCCCUUUCGUGUCAUUGCAAAACAGAGGUGUUUAACUUCCAGAUAUAUCAGACGAUGUUGAGUUUGCUAGCUGGGUUGCUGUUAAAAGAAUUGGAAUAAAUAGAACUGUUUAGAAGAAAGAAAGUCACUUGUUAAUCUGUGACUUUGGAGGGAUAUGUGGCCCCUUUGUUUAUUUCAAUGGAAAUUCUUAUAAAACACAGAUUAUCCUUCUUCCUCUCUGGUCUGGAUACAGUUGUGAUUGAUAGGUAUAUUUACAGAUGGUAUUUCUUCCCUCUGUCACAGGAGGCUGCUCAGGGGAGGACGGCUCCUAGUAAUGGCUGGAAUGGAGUAACUGGAAUUGUAUCAACCACAUGUAAACCAUGUGUUUGAUGUGUUCGAUACCAUUCCAUUUAUUUCGUUCCAGCCAUUACUAUGAGCCCGUCCUCCCCAAUGAAGGUGCCACCAGCCGCCUGUGCUCUCUGUAACUUCGUAAAGUCGUCCGGCUUGUGUUCCAUCCUUAAUGAGAGCCAAGUAAACUACUCCUUAUGUUUGAAAAAGCCAACAAAGCUCAGUACGUCUGUUCAUGUACAGCCUUUAUGAAGUCAAAGCAAUAUGCUCUGAGAGAAUACCUCCGACACCACAACCACGCAGCAAAUUGGUUCAGUUUAGUGAACCCUUGUUUGAGCAGGCAAUAAGCAAAAGAGGAAUAUGAAAUGAUUUCUCAGCACAUUUAUCUUGAUAAAAAUAAAAGAUGUAGAGGCGUAAUAGGAACAACAUGUUGGGUAAUGAGGGGAACAGGGGAUGAUGGAGGAGUAGGACAUGGAUUUCCAGACAUUCCUCUUGAUGGGAUUUCAUGAAGAAAAGAAUACAGCUCUCUCGUUUAUUUGAUUUUAGAGGUUGUGGUCGGGGAGAAAAAAGCAGGAUAAAUGCAUGCUUCAUCAAGGAUAAAUAUUUCCACCCCGUGAAUAAAUGCUGGGAAGUAAACACAGGCCAGAUUGUGACCAGCGGUAGGACGUUUGUGGGUAUAUCUGUUUACACGUUGCUUUGUGUGUGUGUGUGUGUGUGUGUGUGUGUGCGUGCGUGUGUAAACAAACAGAGAGCUUGACACACAGUGGACAAAACAGGUGCUUUAAAGAACAAUUGUACUGUUUACGGUAGCUGUUACUCAUCUUUAUACAGAUGUAAGAUCUUAAUCUGAGGCAGUUUGCAACAACAGAAAAGUAAUCCUGCAGCAACAGGGAAUGUGAAUUAUAAUUAUUAUAAUUAAUGAAUGUGUUUGUAGGGGUUGAUCCAUAUUUUGUUAGGGCAAAUCCAGUCUAAAAUUUCAGUGGGAUUUUUUUUCAUUCAGCAACAAAAGAUUGCCUAAAUGAAGAUCCUACAUGUGUACGUGGAUUGACUGUCAAACAGAGAGAAAGAGAGAGGAAAAGAGAAGGGGAAGAGAGAGAGAGAAGAAAAAUGGUGAAGAAGUGGGAUGAGUGGGAGCCUGUCUGAUGCAAAAAUGAACACAUUUAUAGCUGACAAGUUUGCUAAAAGGCUUCCAUCAAAGUGAGUGAUUUCCUCAUAAUCUUUCCUCUCUCUUCACAUGCCAGAAAAUCUGGAGCUCCUGCUGUUCUACUCUUCUCUUUCCAGUGACUGCUGACCCUCAAGGCUCCCCACUGAUGGCGCAAGGUACUGGAGGGGUAACCGAUGGAGCAAUGCAACAAAUUUGGCAGUUAACCCAGCACCAACCGCUGCCAUGUUUGAACGGUUGCCACAGUGACCAGGAGGCCCACACGGUGAGGUUUGGGCUUUCUGUUUUUCACACCCGUGGCACCAAGGGAGGAAAAGCAGAUUGGGAAAGGAGGUGUUGGUUACAGUGGAACCGGAGACCUAGAGAACACAACACAAUAAAACAUGAUGGGGAGAGGUGUUUCCAACUCUUAAAAGGAGGAUCCAAGAUUGGAUAGCCUGUCCAUCAUUUCAUCCAGCAUGGUACCCUAUCUCUACUCCCUGUGCUGUGAACCUUAUCCAGAGUACUGGGAUUAUUUCAACUCAUCCAAAUUGUUUAGUAUUGCCAUGAAAUACCACAUAAGGAAAGGGGUGUCUUGAAAUUGUAUGUAUGAAGCUGAAAAAGCAAAGCUUAGUUUGUGAUAUGCAGAAGACAUGGUGGAUCUAUUGGCACAGAUAAGGCAUAUAGUACAUAAACCUAUUAGUCCACACACACGCGCACGCGCACGCGCACACACACACACACACACACACACCUGCUCCCAGGCCCCUCAGCCGCUGCCAUAGUAAAAGUGCAUGAUUUCUAGCUGCAGCCCUCUUAAGGGUCCUUCAGUUUAAAAAAAUAAUAAUAAUAAAACAAGCCUAAUGCUUGUGAGUCAUUUUGAAAUCACCAUUUUAUAAUUUAUUUAUCUUUUUAUUGACAGCGGAAAAUUUGUGUCAUGUCAACUAGCCCCAGGGACCACUGUGAAAGUGCAGAGAGCAGAAAAUGUGGCUUGAGUUAGCCAGGCGGAUUAGCACUGAGUGCCUGACGAGGAAAACUACAAUGCAUCACUUGAAGGUUUACGUUUUUUCUAAAAUGUUUUCAUGUUUUUUUGCGGUUGUGCUUCAUUAGGAUGACCAACAUAACAUUCUGGGAUUUUACAUUGUGUGGCAUGACAGCUCUAAGACUCAUUCUGUGGUAAAUGUUCAGCAACAUGAUGAUUUUGACUGUGAAUUCCAGGUAAUGUGACUAAACCAUGAUGUUAAGGGCUUCUCAGUACACUUCAGCUCAGGUUGCAAAGUGCUCCCUAACCGCAGAUUUAAAAUCAGAUGUAUGCAAUGUCAUCAAAAGUCUAAAUAUUUAGUACGCAUGGAAAGGGGGAAUUUGUGCAUGUUUAGAGCACCACCAUUAGGUAAAUGAUCUGAGAAUUUGUUAUUGUUUUUGUUUUGGGAACAGUAAUUGGUGACAUGUUUUAUCUGAAGCCUUUCAAAUCUCUUAUUCCUCAACAUGGGGACAAUUGUGGGAACUCCAACCCUCCAAAUAAUUUUUUACAUUAAAAAAAUGGUACAUUU